Molecule: long non-coding RNA, 1312 nt
Organism: Clupea harengus (Atlantic herring)
Lineage: Eukaryota; Metazoa; Chordata; Actinopteri; Clupeiformes; Clupeidae
Source: Ensembl
ACAGUGUCCUCAUACGGUUACUAUUAUAAGUACUGGUUGUAGAACAGCUUUGUGUGUAUAAAGUGUCCUCAUACGGUUACUAUUAUAAGAUAAGCAAAGAUUUGAAGCAGAAAAUGAUGAUGGCAUGAUGAUGGCCCGUUGUUUCGAUUGUGGGUAAAUAGGCAUAAAGUACAUAUUAUAUUCUCAUUAUAAGAGUCGAAUAUAUGUGCAUAAUAGUUUGGUGGGAAUGGGUAGCCGUAAGCAGAGGGUUUCUACUGGUAGAUCGGGUGGAAAGAUUGUGGCAGCAUCCCACAGUGGAGAUAGUAUAGAGUAGGAGGGGAAGAAAAGAGACAAAGUGAGUGGGCAGAGCUAAGUUGCCUUAUAUGUGUGCGUGUAAUUAUAGGUUCUUGUGAUGAGGAACAGUCAUCAGCAUUUGCAGGUCCUACUUUAUUGGCUAGAACAGAAUACAAAAAAUUAUGUAUUCACAUACACACCAAAGAAAAAGGAUGCACUGCCAAUUAUUUAAACAUCAAGAUUAUUGAAAUUGAAACCCUAGUUAUGAUCCCUUCUUUAUCUUACAGAUAUUCUUUUAUGUUUUUUAUCUUUAUCUUUUUCACACUUUUCACACUAGCAGUCAGUUACAGUGCUUCUCAGGAAAGUUCUGGAGGAUUUGUAAUUGCUUCUAGUCACAUGCUUGGAGUGAUCCUUUGCUGCAUUCUUAAGGUCAUGUUUUAAAGUGUGUCAGAGAGAGAGAGAGAGAGAGGAGUCAUGAGGUAGUGAGGAGCAGUGUGAUGGAGAAGACAGGAGAAGAUGGUAACAAAGGAGAAGAGAGAAAGAGAGGGGCUGGGAAGGACUGAAAGAAAGAGAGAAGGGGUUGAGAAGGACUAAAAGAGAGAGAGAGAGAAGGGGUUGAGAAGGACUAAAAGAGAGAGAGAGAGAAGGGGUUGGGAAGGACUGAAGGAGAGAGAGAGAAGGGGUUGGGAAGGACUGAAGGAGAGAGAGAGAGAGAGAAUGUCUGAUUUCUGUUCACCUUAGAACUUUAAAGAUGGAAUGCUCUGGAGCCUCUCCAACAUGUGUUGCGGAACACAGCUGCCUAAUAUGGAAUGGCUUAGCAACGGGUGCAGGGAUACUCUGCUUGAAUGCUGUUUAAUAUAGGACAUUGUUAUCAGAGUUGGAAUUACAUUUCAUUAAAACCAAUUUAAUGACAAAACCAGUGUAACAUUUUUUUUUCAUGUCAUACAUUUGUCAUUGUUCUCAAGCAGUUUCAAAAACACAUCAUAAUCAUAUUAAUCAAAUACUUAAAAAUGAAUUACAAUGUUUUCUCUCAACAUCA